ACGCUCGACACCUACGGAGGCAGCAGUGGGGAAUAUUGCACAAUGGGGGAAACCCUGAUGCAGCGACGCCGCGUGGAGGAAGAAGGUCUUCGGAUUGUAAACUCCUGUCCCAGGGGACGAUAAUGACGGUACCCUGGGAGGAAGCACCGGCUAACUACGUGUCAGCAGCCGCGGUAAUCUGAGCGGGCUGGCAAGGC
Molecule: ribosomal RNA, 197 nt
Filed under: uncultured bacterium
Lineage: Bacteria
Description: partial 16S ribosomal RNA
Rfam family: Bacterial small subunit ribosomal RNA
Source: RNAcentral